GGAACUGAGACACGGUCCAAACUCCUACGGGAGGCAGCAGUAAGGAAUCUUGCACAAUGGAGGAAACUCUGAUGCAGCGAUGCCGCGUGAGUGAAGAAGGCCUUUGGGUUGUAAAGCUCUUUCGUCGGGGAAGAAAAUGACUGUACCCGAAUAAGAAGGUCCGGCUAACUUCGUGCCAGCAGCCGCGGUAAUACGAAGGGACCUAGCGUAGUUCGGAAUUACUGGGCUUAAAGAGUUCGUAGGUGGUUAAAAAAGUUGGUGGUGAAAUCCCAGAGCUCAACUCUGGAACUGCCAUCAAAACUUUUUAGCUAGAGUAUGAUAGAGGAAAGCAGAAUUUCUAGUGUAGAGGUGAAAUUCGUAGAUAUUAGAAAGAAUACCGAUUGCGAAGGCAGCUUUCUGGAUCAUUACUGACACUGAGGAACGAAAGCAUGGGUAGCGAAGAGGAUUAGAUACCCUCGUAGUCCAUGCCGUAAACGAUGUGUGUUAGACGUUGGAAAUUUAUUUUCAGUGUCGCAGCGAAAGCAAUAAACACACCGCCUGGGGAGUACGACCGCAAGGUUAAAACUCAAAUGAAUUGACGGGGACCCGCACAAGUAGUGGAGCAUGUGGUUUAAUUCGAAGAUACGCGCAGAACCUUACCAACACUUGACAUGUUCGUCGCGACUCUAAGAGAUUAGAGUUUUCGGUUCGGCCGGACGAAACACAGGUGCUGCAUGGCUGUCGUCAGCUCGUGUCGUGAGAUGUUGGGUUAAGUCCCGCAACGAGCGCAACCCUCACUUUUAGUUGCCAUCAUUAAGUUGGGCACUCUGAAAGAACUGCCAGUGAUAAGCUGGAGGAAGGUGGGGAUGACGUCAAGUCCUCAUGGCCCUUACGUGUUGGGCUACACACGUGCUACAAUGGCAUCUACAACAGGAAGCAAAACGGCAACGUUAAGCAAAUCCCGAAAAGAUGCCUCAGUUCGGAUUGCACUCUGCAACUCGAGUGCAUGAAGCUGGAAUUACUAGUAAUCGUAGAUCAGCGUGCUACGGUGAAUGCGUUCCCGGGUCUUGUACACACCGCCCGUCACACCAUGGGAGUUGGUUCUACCUUAAGGCAAGGUUUAAACCCUUGACCACGGUAUAGUCAGCGACUGGGGUGAAGUCGUAACAAGGUAGCCGUAGGGGAACCUGCGGCUG
Molecule: ribosomal RNA, 1175 nt
Filed under: marine metagenome
Description: bacterial SSU rRNA
Rfam family: Bacterial small subunit ribosomal RNA
Source: RNAcentral